RNAcentral lists this ribosomal RNA (292 nucleotides) under uncultured bacterium. Its description in RNAcentral is "partial 16S ribosomal RNA". It matches the Rfam family "Bacterial small subunit ribosomal RNA", at positions 505 to 796 of the family's 1533-position model. The record is from RNAcentral.
GUGCCAGCAGCCGCGGUAAGACAGAGGGGGCAAGCGUUGUCCGGAUUUACUGGGCGUACAGCGCGCGCAGGCGGUGCCGUAUGUGACCGGUGACAGUCUCGGGCUCAACUCGAGGGGGUCUGGUUACACAGCGGCGCUGGAGGCAGGGAGAGGGAUGUGGAAUACCCGGUGGAGCGGUGAAAUGCGUAGAGAUCGGGUGGAACACCAGUGGCGAAGGCGGCAUCCUGGCCCUGACCUGACGCUGAGGCGCGAGAGCGUGGGGAGCAAACGGGAUUAGAAACCCUGGUAGUCC